CCCACCAAAAAUAAUUAUAUAGUUAUCCUUGGGCGAUCUUGAAUCUUAAUUAGUACACUCAUGUUCCCUGUGGAAAAUUGAUACUCUGGAAUACUCCCGGGUGAAGGCUACAUCGGUAUCCGUGCACUUGUGGAUUUUUCUGUUUGCGAUUAAAGUACCCAACAAGCUUUCUGGCGCCGUUGCCGGGGAGUAGUAGCUGUGCUAGUUUCGAAUCAAGUCAUCCGUGUAUCCUUUUUCUUUUCCUUUUUUUUACCACACUCACCUUACCAUUUUCACCAUACCACAUGGAUUUCACUCCAAACAUUAAUGAGCAUGGAAUUUAUUUCAUAGCCACUUCAUUUACUCCAUGCUCAUAUGUAAUAUCUUCACAAUCCAUUGGUCUCUCCAACAUCACGACAUUCGAGAUCUCCAACCCCCUCUUCCUUUCUAUUUAUAAAAACUUUAAAAGGGCGCUUGUCGAUGCAUAUGUCUAUAAUAAAUAUUGCAGAUCUCGUUGAGUUGAUCUUGAUAUAGGUUAGCGU
This 521-nucleotide long non-coding RNA is filed under the name Sorghum bicolor (sorghum). RNAcentral's name for it is "long non-coding RNA (SBIC_LNC008278)". The record is from RNAcentral. Lineage: Eukaryota; Viridiplantae; Streptophyta; Magnoliopsida; Poales; Poaceae.